GAAGGCGACUGGCAUGUGAGUCACUUUACCACAGUUGAGAUCCCAUGCUUUCCCAUCUUUGCAUUGGCACACAGUACUGCAAGAGGUACCUGAAAAUGCAUUGUCCAAUUCCUUUUGAUGGGGUGGGAUCCAGAGUGUCAUGCUUCAAGAGGACACAGAGCAAAGACAAACCAUCUAUUCACAAUCUUGCUUGGACCUCAUGAGCAAAAAUGGCU
Molecule: long non-coding RNA, 215 nt
Filed under: Rattus norvegicus (Norway rat)
Lineage: Eukaryota; Metazoa; Chordata; Mammalia; Rodentia; Muridae
Description: long non-coding RNA NONRATT031461
Source: RNAcentral